Molecule: ribosomal RNA, 128 nt
Filed under: uncultured eukaryote
Lineage: Eukaryota
Description: partial small subunit ribosomal RNA
Rfam family: Eukaryotic small subunit ribosomal RNA
Source: RNAcentral
CCCUGCCUUUUGUACACACCGCCCGUCGCACCUACCGAUUGAACGGUCCGGUGAAAUCUUGGGAUUUGUUUGUGCUGGCUUUGCUGUCGGCGCCGACGAAGAACUUGAGUAAACCUUACCGUUUAGAG